GUCCACGCCCUAAACGAUGUCUACUAGUUGUUGGUGGAGUAAAAUCCAUGAGUAACGCAGCUAACGCGUGAAGUAGACCGCCUGGGGAGUACGGUCGCAAGAUUAAAACUCAAAUGAAUUGACGGGGGCCCGCACAAGCGGUGGAUUAUGUGGAUUAAUUCGAUGCAACGCGAAAAACCUUACCUGGCCUUGACAUGUAACGAACUUUCCAGAGAUGGAUUGGUGCUCGAAAGAGAACGUUAACACAGGUGCUGCAUGGCU
Molecule: ribosomal RNA, 261 nt
Filed under: uncultured bacterium
Lineage: Bacteria
Description: partial 16S ribosomal RNA
Rfam family: Bacterial small subunit ribosomal RNA
Source: RNAcentral